RNAcentral lists this ribosomal RNA (476 nucleotides) under uncultured bacterium. RNAcentral's name for it is "partial 16S ribosomal RNA". It matches the Rfam family "Bacterial small subunit ribosomal RNA", at positions 28 to 523 of the family's 1533-position model. The record is from RNAcentral.
GAUGAACGCUGGCGGCGUGCUUAACGCAUGCAAGUCGAGCGAGUGAGUUCUUCGGAACGAUCUAGCGGCGGACGGGUGAGUAACACGUGGGCAACCUGCCUCAUAGAGGGGAAUAGCCUCCCGAAAGGGAGAUUAAUACCGCAUAAAAUUAUCGAGUGGCAUCACACGAUAAUCAAAGGAGUAAUCCGCUAUGAGAUGGGCCCGCGGCGCAUUAGCUAGUUGGUGAGGUAACGGCUCACCAAGGCGACGAUGCGUAGCCGACCUGAGAGGGUGAUCGGCCACAUUGGGACUGAGACACGGCCCAGACUCCUACGGGAGGCGGCAGUGGGGAAUAUUGCACAAUGGGGGAAACCCUGAUGCAGCAACGCCGCGUGAGUGAUGAAGGUCUUCGGAUUGUAAAGCUCUGUCUUUGGGGACGAUAAUGACGGUACCCAAGGAGGAAGCCACGGCUAACUACGUGCCAGCCGCCGCGGUAA